This 254-nucleotide ribosomal RNA is filed under the name uncultured bacterium. RNAcentral describes it as "partial 16S ribosomal RNA". It matches the Rfam family "Bacterial small subunit ribosomal RNA", at positions 524 to 776 of the family's 1533-position model. The record is from RNAcentral.
CACGUAGGGUGCGAGCGUUGUCCGGAAUUAUUGGGCGGAAAGAGCUCGUAGGCGGUGUGUCGCGUCGGCCGUGAAAACCUGCAGCUUAACUGUGGGCUUGCGGUCGAUACGGACAUCACUGGAGUUCGGCAGGGGAGACUGGAAUUCCUGGUGUAGCGGUGAAAUGCGCAGAUAUCAGGAGGAGCACCGGUGGCGAAGGCGGGUCUCUGGGCCGAUACUGACGCUGAGGAGCGAAAGCGUGGGGAGCGAACAGG